Molecule: ribosomal RNA, 489 nt
Filed under: uncultured bacterium
Lineage: Bacteria
Description: partial 16S ribosomal RNA
Rfam family: Bacterial small subunit ribosomal RNA
Source: RNAcentral
GACGAACGCUGGCGGCGUGCUUAACACAUGCAAGUCGAACGGUGAAGGGACCAGCUUGCUGGUUCUGGAUGAGUGGCGAACGGGUGAGUAACACGUGAGUAACCUGCCCCCUUCUUCUGGAUAACCGCAUGAAAGUGUGGCUAAUACGGGAUAUUCUGGGUCUGUCGCAUGGCGGGCCCGGGAAAGAUAUUGCUUCGGUGGGGGAUGGGCUCGCGGCCUAUCAGCUUGUUGGUGGGGUGAUGGCCUACCAAGGCGGUGACGGGUAGCCGGCCUGAGAGGGUGGACGGUCACACUGGGACUGAGACACGGCCCAGACUCCUACGGGAGGCAGCAGUGGGGAAUAUUGCACAAUGGGCGCAAGCCUGAUGCAGCGACGCCGCGUGAGGGAUGGAGGCCUUCGGGUUGUAAACCUCUUUCGCCAGUGAAGCAGGCCUGCUCCGUGUGGGUGGGUUGACGGUAGCUGGAGAAGAAGCGCCGGCUAACUACGUG